RNAcentral lists this ribosomal RNA (440 nucleotides) under uncultured bacterium. RNAcentral's name for it is "partial 16S ribosomal RNA". It matches the Rfam family "Bacterial small subunit ribosomal RNA", at positions 338 to 795 of the family's 1533-position model. The record is from RNAcentral.
CCUACGGGAGGCAGCAGUGGGGAAUAUUGCACAAUGGGGGGAACCCUGAUGCAGCAACGCCGCGUGGGUGAAGAAGUACUUCGGUAUGUAAAGCCCUGUCAGCAGGGAAGAAAAUGACGGUACCUGACCAAGAAGCCACGGCUAACUACGUGACAGCAGCCGCGGUCUUACGUAGGGGGCACGCGUUAUCCGGCAUUACUGGGGGUAAAGGUAGCGUAGGCGGGAAGGCAAGUCCGGAGUGAAAGCCCGUGGCUCAACCUCCGGACUGCUGUGGAAACUGAGUUGCUGGAGUGCAGGAGGGGUAAGCGGAAUUCCUGGUGUAGCGGUGAAAUGCGUAGAUAUAAGGAGGAACACCGGUGGCGAAGGCGGCUUACUGGACUGUAACUGACGUUGAGGCUCGAAGGCGUGGGGAGCAAACAGGAUUAGAUACCCCAGUAGUC